AUUUCCCUCUUCUUCUUUUUUUCCUUCUUUUGUGUGGCUGGUAAACGUUGUCUCAAUCUACACAAUUAUAUUUGCUUCACGUUUGCUACUCCCACCUUUCUAAUUUAUAUACUAACUAGAUUCAGCACGUCUAUUCCAUGUUAAUUUUCAAAGGCACAGCUGCUACGUAUACUUCAUCUCUUCUGCUUCUUCCUAUUCCUAUGGAUUUCGCCAAUGACAUCGAUACCAUUUCCCUCUUCUUCUUUUUU
Molecule: unclassified non-coding RNA, 248 nt
Filed under: Hevea brasiliensis (rubber tree)
Lineage: Eukaryota; Viridiplantae; Streptophyta; Magnoliopsida; Malpighiales; Euphorbiaceae
Source: RNAcentral